AUUGAACGCUGGCGGCAGGCCUAACACAUGCCAGUCGAGCGGAUGAAGGGAGCUUGCUCCUGGAUUCAGCGGCGGACGGGUGAGUAAUGCCUAGGAAUCUGCCUGGUAGUGGGGGAUAACGUCCGGAAACGGGCGCUAAUACCGCAUACGUCCUGAGGGAGAAAGUGGGGGAUCUUCGGACCUCACGCUAUCAGAUGAGCCUAGGUCGGAUUAGCUAGUUGGUGGGGUAAAGGCCUACCAAGGCGACGAUCCGUAACUGGUCUGAGAGGAUGAUCAGUCACACUGGAACUGAGACACGGUCCAGACUCCUAUGGGAGGCAGCAGUGGGGAAUAUUGGACAAUGGGCGAAAGCCUGAUCCAGCCAUGCCGCGUGUGUGAAGAAGGUCUUCGGAUUGUAAAGCACUUUAAGUUGGGAGGAAGGGCAGUAAGUUAAUACCUUGCUGUUUUGACGUUACCAACAGAAUAAGCACCGGCUAACUUCGUG
Molecule: ribosomal RNA, 484 nt
Filed under: uncultured bacterium
Lineage: Bacteria
Description: partial 16S ribosomal RNA
Rfam family: Bacterial small subunit ribosomal RNA
Source: RNAcentral